RNAcentral lists this small nucleolar RNA (78 nucleotides) under Schizosaccharomyces pombe (fission yeast). RNAcentral's name for it is "partial snR57 small nucleolar RNA". The record is from RNAcentral. Lineage: Eukaryota; Fungi; Ascomycota; Schizosaccharomycetes; Schizosaccharomycetales; Schizosaccharomycetaceae.
GUUGAUGAUGAUCAUUUCUGUUCCUAGUAGGGCAUUCGAUGCGGACACUUUUGUAUUUUAGGAAUUCUUCGUUGCUGA